AGCUUUUUCAUUAGUAUUUGCCUAACAGAAAGAUAGUCUUGGUUUCUUUUAAGCUCGGUAACAUUGCUGCAUCAUAUUAAUCUUUUGCAUGAGAUCAACCUGAGUCACAGCUAAGAAAUCAGAAGAGUACAUACUGCAACACAUGGACCUACAAAGUUUUUUUUGGAAGGAGAAUAUUUGUCCUACGUACAGUAAGAUUUCAACUAUUUAGUGCCUCAAACCAAUUUUCAUUAAUGUGAAUAAACAAUAAAUACUUUGAGGGAUAAUGUUGAAUCGUGUGAAAUAUUACUGUAUUUAGUGCUUUUUGUAGGGGAGUUUUCAAAUUGUAUUAAAAAAAACUUCAAAGAGGUAUUGAUGCAAAAUAUGAUUAACACUUUAAAUUCCAAUGCAAUACUAGUACUGAGACUAAAUUUUUAGGGACUAAAAUAGGCUAUAGUGAAAAGUACAAUGUGUAGGACUAGAUGAUCCUGGUAGAAUCAAAAUAGAUUUACUAUUGAAAAUAAAAGUGUGCUUGUUCUCUGAGUUUGACUUUUAGAAAUAUUCUUCCCAGCACUCCUCAAAUUCCUCUAUGUAUUUCUCUCAGUUAAUAUGCCUGAGGUUCACUUCUCAACUACAAUGCCUUAAAACCCAGGGAAAGACUGUGGCAUGAGACAGCAGCUUGAAUGAGGUGCUGGUAUUGUUUACAAGUGUUUCACUUUUGAAGAGUGUUUCUGAAAUUAGCCUGAGUGCUACCUGUGAAGAUAAGCCAACAAUGACAUUUUUCCAAAAACCAUUAGCUCUGUUUGUGAAAGUUUAAAAUAUUCCAUAAUCUCAGGGGAGAACAGUGCCAUUUGACAUGAUGCAGUCAUCAAUAUUGUCAAAGCACUGAAGACAGAGCUCCAGUAAUAUGCUAACAGAAACCUGAUGAAGACUAAAAAUGCUUGUCAGUGAACCAAAAAAAAUCUGUCAGCAGCCUUCUGAAUACACACAGGUGCUGUAUUCAUUAAGAAAGAAAGGUUAUUAGCUGUUUAUAAAGAGCAUUUCAAAGAAUAAGAAAUGCUGUGAUAUCUAAGUUAUGAGAUUGCAGGCAAACUGUUGAUAACAGGAACUACAAGAGGAGGAGGAGAUGGGAAGGAAUAGCGUAGCAGCAUGUAUUAUAUGUGUGGGAAAAGGAUGCCAAUGCAUUUUCAUGAGAGAUGAUAUCAGAAACUAUUUUUACUUCCUGCUGCCAAAGGACUACUUCUUUACACCUUGCAGAGGGAGACACCCUCCUAUAUUUUUCCCAUGUGUCAUUAACAUUGCCAAAAUUAUUUCUGUGUAUCAAUAAAAUGGACUGUAGAAUCAACAGGAGAGUGUCUACCAGGCUGUUCCGUGUAAUUUGGUUAUCAAAGUAAUUAAUUUCCUUCAAGGAAGGGGAAGUUAUCUAUUGCUGGUAUGGGUAUGUUCCACAUAUACCAGUAUGUUCCACAGUCCCUUUGUUAUCAGGCACUGUUUACGGAUAAAGACUUAGCUUAUUGUAUUAAAGGGAUAAAUAUUCCAUUUCAAAAUUCAAAAUCAAAUUAUGAAAACAGAAAACACAUUGCCUGAGAACUCAGCUGUAUCCUUACGUGUUUUUGCUGUCUCUCCUAGGACAACAUUCAGCCAUGAGAGAUGCAGGUGAUUGUAAUCAAAGUUUUUUUUCUCAACUUUUUAAAAAAGUUUGCUCAGUUAGCUUUUGGUUUUUCUGAACUGUAUUAAUUCCUAUUGCAUAUCCCAAACUAGUCUGUUCUCUAUAGCUUACACAGCUCUGCUAGUAAAUUGCAAAACUGUAAAAGAUGAAUCAAGAUGAAUCUUUGUUAGCACUGCUUUAUGCCUACUUACCCAAUGAAGACCAUAAAAUUACAGAAUAAUUUAGUUUGGAAAAGACCUUUAUGAUCAUUGAGUCCAGCGUAAACCUGGCACUGCCAAAUCCACCAUGUCCCAAAGCACCACAUCUACAAUCUUUUAAAUAAGUCCAGGCGUGGUGAUUCCAUCACUUCCCUGAGCAGCCUGUUGCAAUGCUUGACUAUACUCCUAAUGUAGAAUUUUUUCCCAAUAUCCAGUCUAAACCUUCCCUGGCACAACUUAAGGCCAUUUCCUUUUGUCCUGUCGCUUGUUACUUAGGAGAAGAGACCAACCCCACCUGGCUACAACCUCCUUUCAGGUAGCUAUAGAGAGCAGUGAACUCUUCCCCUUUUCUCCAGGCUAAACAACCCCUGCUCCUUCAAUUGCUCAUCAUAAGGUGCCCCAGACCUGUCACCAGCUUCAUAGCUCUUCUUAGGAUGCAUAUGGAGAACAUACUAGGCAGAAACAACAGCAAGUAGCUUUGAGAGUGGUUCUGCCAGGGAAGCUUCCCUGGGCUUUCUGCAGGCACCCCUGCCACCAGUGCCCACGUGAGAAGGGCUUGCUGCAGGAUGGCAUUUAUAGGAAAGCUUUCCCUUUGUGGCUCAUACCUUCUGGCAUGUGCAGUACUUUCUGGGAUGUGAAGUCAGGACACAGUGAGGGUCUGUACAAACAUGUCAGUGUUGGUGGACAAAUCUUGUACUUCCAGCAGUGUGCACACGUGGAAAAGAAGACCAAUGGCCAUCCUGGCCUACAUCAGGAAUGGUGUAGCCAGCAGGACAGGGAGGUCAUUCUUCCCCUGUACUUGGCAGUGGUGAGGAAGCACCUUGAGUCCUGUGUCCGGUUCUGGGCCCCUCACUUUAGUAAGGAUGCUGAGAUCAGGAGUGUGUCUGGAGAGGGGCAACAAGGCUGUUUGAAGGUUUGGAACACAAGUCCUAGGAGAAGUGGCGGAGGGAGCUAGAGUUGUUUAGCCUGGAAACAGGAGGCUCAAGGGAAAACCUUAUCACUCCCUACAAAAACCUGAAAGGAGGCUCUAGCCAGAUGGAGGUUGGUCUCUUCUCUCAGGCAACCGGCCAUAGGACAUGAGGACACAGUCUUAAACUGCCCCAAGAGAAGUUCAGGUUGGAAGAAGUUCUUCACAAGAAGGGUGACUGAACAUUGGAAUGGACUGCCCACAGAGGUGGUGUAGUCACCAUGCCUGGAAUUAUUUUUAAAAUAAGACUGUGUGGCGCUUAAUGCCAUAGUCCAGUUGACAAGAUGGUGUUCCUUCAUACGCUGGGCAUGCUGAUCUCAAAGGCCUUUUCCAACCUAGCUGGCUCCGUGAUUCCAGCAGCAGAUGGAGCGUGUGGAUGCCGCCAGUAGAGCAUGAAGCACUGGCACGCACGAGGAGCGGGGACAGCCGCACGCUGGCCCCGCACCGCUGCACCGAGCACUUGGGCGGGGGGCAGAAGCGACCACCCAGCACCGGGUGACCCGGAACGCGGGGGGACGGCGCGGCUCCCGACGGGACGGAUUAGGGGCUCCAGCGCCGGCCUUCCGGCCUGACUGAGAGACAAACUCGGACGCAAUCCUCCGCGGCGGGGGAGGGCGCGGAGGCUACCCAGGGAAAAGCGGGGCCGUGCACGGGGCACGGAUGCAGUGCAGGCUGG
Molecule: long non-coding RNA, 3488 nt
Filed under: Taeniopygia guttata (zebra finch)
Lineage: Eukaryota; Metazoa; Chordata; Aves; Passeriformes; Estrildidae
Description: lncRNA (ENSTGUG00000028560.1)
Source: RNAcentral